This 402-nucleotide ribosomal RNA is filed under the name Bacteroidota bacterium. RNAcentral describes it as "Bacteroidetes bacterium partial 16S ribosomal RNA". It matches the Rfam family "Bacterial small subunit ribosomal RNA", at positions 355 to 776 of the family's 1533-position model. The record is from RNAcentral. Lineage: Bacteria; Pseudomonadati; Bacteroidota.
UGGGGAAUUUUGCACAAUGGGGGAAACCCUGAUGCAGCGACGCCGCGUGAUUUAGAAGGCCUUCGGGUUGUAAAAAUCUUUUCUAUGGGAAGAAAAUGACAGUACCAUAGGAAUAAGGACCGGCUAAUUACGUGCCAGCAGCCGCGGUAAUACGUAAGGUCCGAGCGUUGUCCGGAAUCAUUGGGCGUAAAGGGUACGUAGGCGGGUAAGCAAGUUAGAAGUGAAAUCCUGUAGCUCAACUACAGUAAGCUUUUAAAACUGCUCAUCUUGAGUUAUGGAAGGGAAAGUGGAAUUCCUAGUGUAGCGGUGAAAUGCGCAGAUAUUAGGAGGAAUACCGGUGGCGAAGGCGACUUUCUGGCCAUAAUCUGACGCUGAGGCUCGAAAGCGUGGGUAGCAAACAGG